UACGGGGGGGGCAAGCGUUGUUCGGAAUCACUGGGCGUAAAGGGCGUGUAGGCGGUCCGCUAAGUCUGAUGUGAAAGCCCGGGGCUCACCCCCGGAAGGGCAUUGGAAACUGACGGACUCGAGUCCCGAAGAGGAGGGUGGAAUUCCUGGUGUAGCGGUGAAAUGCGUAGAUAUCAGGAGGAACACCGGUGGCGAAGGCGGCCCUCUGGACGGUGACUGACGCUGAGACGCGAAAGCGUGGGGAGCAAACAGG
Molecule: ribosomal RNA, 253 nt
Filed under: uncultured bacterium
Lineage: Bacteria
Description: partial 16S ribosomal RNA
Rfam family: Bacterial small subunit ribosomal RNA
Source: RNAcentral